Molecule: long non-coding RNA, 876 nt
Filed under: Macaca fascicularis (crab-eating macaque)
Lineage: Eukaryota; Metazoa; Chordata; Mammalia; Primates; Cercopithecidae
Description: lncRNA (ENSMFAG00000054821.1)
Source: RNAcentral
ACACCGGCCGCGUCUUCCAGGGCGCGCGGGCAUCGCGCAGCGAGCGGUCGUGGGGCAGCGCGGCAAAGGCCGAAUGGCGCAGCUGGCAACCGAUGAAGAGGACGACGAGCGCCACCGAGAGCAGCAGCAGGAAGAAGAGCAGCAGAGAUGUGAUCUCGCCCUGUCGCCCAAGCUGGAGAGCAAAGCCUCAGCACAAUGGAAACAGCUCACCUCUGAGCUGGUGCUUGGGGACAUUAGGCUCGGAAGUCCCAGGACACAGCAAAAACAUCUGUGUUCUUUGAAGGAAAAAUAUCAUGAGAAGACACCCCGAUGGCCUUUGCUGAAGCACAGAAUACACAUUCUGUUCAUGCUGGUGGUGACAGACAGUGAUAAUGCUGCAAGCAUCUUUAUGUAAUGAUGAGUCUACAAGGCAGCCUCGGCUCUCAGAUCGAAUCUUCACUUUCACCAGGACUCAACUGGCCUGGGGGCAGCUAAUAGAUUUCUGCAGGUUAGUAAGGCACCAAUAGCUCUAUUUUGCUGGAGUGCCCAUUCUGUGAUUGAUUGGAGUUGAGCGUGAUACCCCGGGGCUGUGUUCUGUUCUAUCACUGAGAUGAUCCAAAGUCACUUCCUCUCUCUCAGUGACUGACCCUGCUCAGGUCUGGGGCAGUCACUGCUCCCCGCUGGCAUCAGUGGUCUGGAAACCCUAUGAGUCAGUUGUACAGCUACUGGGGCUCAUGCUGCUCUCAAUGAUCUAUGCUCACGGAAAGCAGCACAAGUCCCCAAGACCAAUAUCAAGUCGUAUUUAUGUAACUUGAAGAAUCCACUUCACCAUCCUCUACCUACAGAAUAAGGCUCUAUAUUUCCUAUUUAUAGCAGCAUCCUCACCAGCCAGAAGCU